ACUCAAAUGAAUAGACGGGGCCCCGCACAAGCAGUGGAUUAUGUGGUUUAAUUCGAAGCUACGCGAAAAACCUUACCAGGGCUUGACAUGGAGCGGACCGGUAUAGAGAUAUGCCUUCUCCUUCGGGAGUCGCUCACACAGGUGGUGCAUGGUUGUCGUCAGCUCGUGUCGUGAGAUGUUGGGUUAAGUCCCGCAACGAGCGCAACCCCUAUUGUUAGUUGCUACGCGAGAGCACUCUAGCGAGACUGCCGUUGACAAAACGGAGGAAGGCGGGGACGACGUCAAAUCAUCAUGCCCCUUAUGUCCUGGGCUACACACGGAAUACAAUGGCGUUUAACAACGGGAAGCAAAGCCGUGAGGUGGAGCAAAUCCCCAAAAGGCGUCUCAGUUCGGAUCGUAGGCUGCAAUUCGCCUGCGUGAAGUCGGAAUUGCUAGUAAUCGCGGAUCAGAAUGUCGCGGUGAAUACGUUCCCGGGGCUUGUACACACCGCCCGU
This 494-nucleotide ribosomal RNA is filed under the name uncultured bacterium. RNAcentral describes it as "bacterial SSU rRNA". It matches the Rfam family "Bacterial small subunit ribosomal RNA", at positions 899 to 1397 of the family's 1533-position model. The record is from RNAcentral.